CAGAGGAGUAUGCCGGAGCUGUGGUGGGCACCUAAAGAGAAAGGAAAUGGAUUUGGAGGUGACUUUGGUGAGAACCUCUUAGACUGCAACAGGCAGACUGAAAUUUCUCAUCCAAGCUCCAUUUGUUGAGAACCUGAAACCCUGAGAAUAUUUCCUUUGACAAAAUCCCAACAGCUCUUAAAUCAUCUAUCUUCAAGGAAAGUGAAAGAGAAGAGACACAUUGGAGGCUGGCUGCUCCAUUGUGUUGAAAUGAAGCAUUCAGAAGGACUCAGUGAAAUCAUCUUUGGAAAUUUCCAGCUGGGCUGCACCCUUGUAAUACCAGGGUUAAAAGCAUGGGGAAUUGUUGUACCUAUACUGACCGACUGACCAUAACCUGCUCAACACUUAUUGGGAGCUCACAAGCUCUCUGGAAGAUGAAAAGUAUCUGCUUUCCUUAGCAAACUUGGAGUGAAUAACACUUUAAGGUGAAGAUAAAUAGUGGAAGGAGAGACAACGCUGAAUGCAAAAAUGCACUGGAUUUCUUGAUGGAUGCUACUUUUCCUAAGUACCUGAAACUUCCCAACACACCUGAGCAAGGAAGCAUACGACAUUGGCCAAUGUGUUGUGUGGCUGUCUUUGUUGUUUCAAACCAUCUGGAGCAAUCUCUGGAAAUGAGACAAGUGUAACCCUUUCUCUGUGCCAUGGACCGGAUUGUUCCCAAAGACCAGAGGAAAUUUCCCAGGGAAUAAAGCUGGAAAAAAGACAAGUUUACCUAGUUGCUUUGUUGAUUCAGAGGGACAAAAAUGCUCUGAAAUCAGUGAAAAAGAAGUGAUUUUGAGGCCAGAGCAAUCAAAGUAGGAAUCCAGAUUCUUCAAGGAGGCCUCUCAAAGAAUGACAAUACUCUAUGAGCAGAUGCCACAGAAGGGCUAAAUAGUUUUGAAAAUUGCUUACCUAGUAUUUAGAGGAGAAAAUCGUAUUCAAAAAUGAAUAGAACAGCAUUGUGCCCUAAACAACUGUGUUACUCUAGAUAAGCUCCCUGGUAUUCUUUAUUUAGAGCUAGUUAAAAAAUUCUCAUCGAACUGCAUUGUAUGUUUAUACCUGACUUCUGAUUGGCUUGGGCUUCCAUCACUUGGGUCCUCCAUCACAGUAAGCUGGAGAGGUUAAAAAACAGAAGAAAAGGCCAUAGUUUCUAUUCUGUACACAGCAUUUGAGAAAGUUUCUUUUUUUCCCUUUUCAUCAAGUUAUUCAACUUCACUAAUGAUUAGGCAAAAGGAAUAAAUUGCUGGCUAAUUAAAUUUGCAGAUGGUAUUCAAUUGUGAGGGUGUGUGAGGAUAAAGGAAUAAUGUAGAGGCCUCAAAAGCUUUGCAUUCUAUGCACGAGAGAGUGGAAAGGCAUGAGUCAGUGUGUGCAAUUACAACUAGCAUAUAGAAAAGAGGCAGAAGGGAGGCUACUGGAAAAAAGAGCUAUUGAAUAUCAGUGAGAGGACAUUUGUAGGAGAAGCAAUGGAUGGACUCAAAUAACUAUGAGAUAUUAUGAACAAUUAUUCCUGUCUAGGUUAGCUCCUGCAUAAGUUUAUAGGAGACCUCCUAUGGGUAUAAUUCUAGAGAGAAAUCCCCCAAGCAUCAUCUCCAAAUGAAGUUUUGAUAUUUGGCAGACCACCUGGUCUACAUCAUAUCUCUGGUCACAGCAUGGUUUCUGAGUUAGCCAUUGGGGUUUCAUUGGUUCUCAAAGUAAAAUAAGCUUAUUGGCAAUGGUAUGUGGCCAUAUGCCAGAAAGUACGCAAAGCCAGGUGAUAUGUAUGGCAUAUAUUUCUCAACGAUUAGUUUUGCUCAUGGCAACUAAGGUAAACUUAUUUUUAUAUUAAAACAAACACAGAUACAUUGCGGUAUCGAAUAGAGGAUUUGCAUGGAUUUUGAGCUAUAACUCAAGACUGCAAAGAGAUUUCUUCCUUACAGGGUGCCAUCUAGGCUUACACCUCCAGAUCUUCUAGGGGUACAUACUCACUCUUGCUUGAUGUUAUGGGUAUUUAGGUGGAAAAAGUUAAGAAACUCUAUAUAUUCCAAAUAUGUGCAUAGCACGAUAUAAAAUACUUAUUUUAAAAGCUCAUUAAUUUAUUAAAUAUUAAUGGAGAGCCUAGCCUGUACCAGACACUUUUGUCAGGGUAGAGAGAGGUACACUGGUGUACAGAACAAGUUCGUGCUCUCAGGAACUUGCAUUCAAAGUCUAUAUUGUAUUUAUGAACUCCUUCACACAGCAAUUUAACAUAAUUUUAUGAAAGUGUAAUUAAUUGCUAUUUAUUUCUUAGUUUACUUUGUACACACUUCUGGAGCAUUUUCCAUGUACUAAACUCUGUGCUACGCAAUAGAAAAACAGAAGUGAAUAUUGCAGACCUGUACUCUGCCUAAAACAGCAUGAAUUUUAAUAAGGAAGACUAUCAAUUAAGCAAUUAGUUCUAAUGUUCUGAGAUGAGUUUUCUGCAAGUGAGGUAGAAUUUGGAACAGGAUAAUUUGGCAAGGAUGUCUCAUCUGCAUUGGGACACGUAAAAGUCUUCUCCACGGAAAUAUAUUUAAGCGUAAACUGGACAGAUGUAUAGGAGCUGGUCAGAUGGACAGAAUGGAAAACUAUAUUUCAGGUAGAGGGAUAGCAUGAGAAAGGCUGAGGGGUGAGAGGGAACAUCAGUUACUCUAGGGCAUGAAUGAAAUUCAUAAUGGUGAGAGUGAGCCAUGUGGAGUAGAAUGUGAAAAGAUGAGGCUGCGGACAGAGAUGUGAGCACAGAGAUCACCAUAGGCCAUGCUAAUGGAUUUGUGCAUCAUCCUAAGGAUGGUGGAAAGAUCAUGAAGGCUUUUAAGUUAGGGCAAGACAUGACCAACAUUGCAGUUUCUAAAUGGUCACUUUGGCUUCGGUGUGGAGAAUGGAUUUGAAGGAAGCAGAGUGGAACCAGGGAGACCAUUUAAGAGGUCAUUGUAAAAUCAAGGCAAAAGAAGAUGCUUCUCAGGCUGCACUCAGGUGGUGGCUGUGAAGACGGACUGCAGUGAUAUCCAGGAGGCAAGUCCAGAGGGAUUGUCAUUUGGUUAGAGACGGGUCAAAGGUAAGGAGGUGAAAAGUGAGGCUAGGAUCAGUAAUAAUUUGUAUGUGGUUGCCACAGUGCUUUGAGGAAGAGAAGGAUACAGCUAUGUUUGGAUAUCUUGAAUGUGAAAUGACUUGAAAUAUCUAAGUGGAAGUAAUCAGUGAGUAGAACAGGAGCCUGGAAAGAAGGAAGAGAAUAGCCUUUACCUUUUCAAACAGGGUCUUGUUGAUCUUGAAUUGUCACUCUCGUGGUUGGCAAAGUAAUACCCUACAUAUCCUGCCUAUUGGACUAGAUUUCCUUCGAGGAACUGAUGCUGGGACUCUUCCCAUUAUACCAGAGUGGGGCCAGACCCCACUCUGUCUUGGCAUGGUUUGGGGAAUAAAUCCAAACUGGUCCUGAGAUUUGUCUAAAGUGACUUGUACAACACCUUGCAGCCCACUCAUGGAAGGGUGGGGACCUGAGCCUAGGGCUCCAUACUACGCAUCUAGUAUGGGUUUAUUUAUUCUAACUCUCCAUCCACCUCCACCUCCCAGAUCAUGAAUCCCCACCCUACCUUCAGUGUCUGUGGUGAGUGUCUAUGUCUUACUCUACCUUCAACUGAUGAGAAUGCUCAUGGUUUUGUUUUUUUUUUUUUUCCUGGGUAAUGACACAAGUUCCCAUGUGGGAGCUCGUUCUCCUGCUAAAGGAAGCCAAAGGCCUAUUUGAACAUGAGCCCAAUUUCUCCCCUACCAAACAUCACUGUCACAAACUGACCACUCUGGCAGUGCUGCCAGCUACGAGCAGACAGGUUGACUGACAGGAAGCACAGAUCUGCCGCUCACACAAAUCUAGGCAGGCAGGGGAUGGAAAAGAGGUGUGCUGGGCCUGUCUGGCACCGACAGCUUCUGCCACACCGACAUUUCAAUCAGCACCGUGUUAAGCCAGCCCUUGUGUCACUCAAAAGUAGUCCAGCACUAGCUCCAGGGGUGGGCUCUAGGGAGCCACCUGAGUCCCUGGGUUGCUUCAAAGAGAGGGGUUACCAGGUCCAUCAGCAGCAUCUGCCACACCUUCUUCUCUUGCCAGAUAAUUAGGAUAUAGUCCAGUUGGGUGACUUUAUCCUGCCUGAGGAAGUGACAGCUAAUACUGGGCUGGCACUGGAGAGCACUCCAUGGUUCAUAAUGACUGUCCGAAUCGGCAGGAGCUGUCUGGUGCGUCCAGGAAAAGUUGAGUUCUGUUUAUUCUUUGGAGAGAAGGAGGAAUAGCGAGCCUAGGUGUGCUUUGAAAUGCCUGUCUAACUACAUAGGGAUUUACAUACACCUAUUCAUAUGGAUAAACACUUGCAUAAGCACCUAGACACAAACCUCCCUGUUCCUCCAUAAGCUAAAUCAUGCACAGAUCACAAGCACACAAACAAGCAUAGAUGUAUGCAAAAUACUCAUUUGCUAAGAUGCAUGCUUAUAAAUAUGCAUAUUCAAAUUUGCGUUAGGAUGCACACAUAUGGAAAACACACAUGCACAAAUAAAUGAAUUUGCUGUAUAUGUGAGUGCAUACAAAUACAAAGACGUUGAUAUACAAAAGCGCAUGUACAGUGCAUGCAGAUUGAUGAACUCAUAUAAACACAGGCAAAUACAGAUAUGAAUAUAUGUGAAAAGACACUUGUAAAAACACAUGCACUUGCACACACACCCACAUGCAUUCUUUUCUAAGGGAUGAAUUUAAAGAGAAUGGAAGAAUGGAUGCAGAACAUUUAUGUAUUGGAGUUUCUACCUGUCAUCACUCAAAUCACUUUCAAGUGUGUAAAACAAAAGAGAGAAAAAAAAUCAAUUCCUGAUAGGAGAGGUUCAAGGAGCUGUUAAAUCAAUUAUAUUUUAUUUUCAAAUAUCAUUCAGAGAAGUUUACACUCUUUCAGAAAAGUCUGGUCUCGCCGGGGGGCAAAGAACCAGCUGGAAAUGGUAAUGUGGAAGGCACUGCAAAGUUCAAGGCAAAGGCCAGUGCUGAGGUCAGAAAUGACACUUUCAUCUUCUCUGGCAGGAGAAGGGGGUUGGGAGGGUUUCAAGUGCCCCAUUCAAAUAAUGGCCACAAGGGCUUAACUGAUGUGACACCGGUCACUUCAUUGAUUGCUAAGUUUGACUUGGUCAAUUGACAUUAAAAAAUAAACGUUUGUGAGAUCUGGUGGGAGCCUUGGAAAGCUACUUUUUUUUGAAUUUUUUAAACAAAGAGACAAAGAGGCUGGAAGAAGAGGUGUGACUUGCCCAACAUCAUCCAGGAAGAGAGUUCAGAGCCUGAGACUGAUCCCAGCCAGCUGGUUUCCCAGCUCGGAACUUCCUGCUUCUCCCAUUAGACAUCUGCCCUCAGAUCACCCUCCCUAUCAGGUAGCAUUUUGAUUCCUCAAAGACCCUUAUAAACAUACAACGAAUUAACUCAUGUAGUAUUGAGGGUGUUUAAUUAAAGACACCAGGCUGAGGGCUGGUGACUGGCCGGAGGUAUCACCAGGACCAGACCCAGGUGGUAUGUGCUGAAGACUAGAAGAGCCCAGUUAGUGUUUCGUAUGAACAUCCUGCCUGUAGGACCACUUUUAUCCCUAAGAUAUGCUAACGUUGCCUGGACCUUGAUCACCAGAUCUGGGCUCUAAAGCACAUAGCAAGAUGCUGUGGGAAAAACAAAAAGACGAUACAAAAAGGAGAAACGCCAACCUUUUGUAAAACUUGCCAUGUUUUUAUGAUACUUGAACACUAGAUUAAAAAAAAAUAGUACACGCUGAAAUGCGGAAACCUUAAUAAGCAACUAAGCUCAGCACAGAGUGAAGGGAUCAGGCGAGAGAGGACAGAAGAAGUGACACUAAGAAAGUCAGAUUCUGCCAUUACAAGCUUCAGUUUUCUCACUGAAAAAAAUAACAGUGGAGAACAAAAAGCUACAUCUAGGUUGCCAGGGGGUUUAAAUUAGUGAAUAUCUGAAAAUGUGUUGUAAGUUUGUUGGAGAAAUGUUAAGGUAUGUUGCUGUCUACAGUCUUAGUGAAGGAAAACGUUAUCCCAGAACUUUUCUUUAUGUUGUUAUCCCCACUAUGAAUGCCCUUGCUGUUCACUGAGUUGAACUUGAGUCUCCUUUAAAGACUGAUCAAGUGAGCUGCCAAACCUCUCAGAACCAUGUUGCUGGAAGAGACCUCAGACAUACUUUCUGUCAAUUUCCACACUGAUUCUGGGACAUGUUAAGGGAUGUUACUCAGCAUCAUAUAAUAGUAGGCUCUUUAAUAAAAUAAUCUUAUGAAAUGCUACAAAUAAUAUUCUCCUCCUAUAGAUUCACAAAACACAGAAGCCUUGAGAGGUCUUGCAGGAAACAACCUGCUCAAUUUUGUUGAACAUGUUUCUAAAUGUUUUCAUCUUCUGCCACUUCUCUCAAUCUUUUUGUUUAAUGUUACAUAUCUAUUAAUAUCCUAAAGAGAAAUUUUCCAUGGAACACAAUUUUGGGAUGCACUCUUUUGGUUCAAUGCCCUUGUGCUAGGUAGGAAACAUCUGAUGAGGGAAAUGAGUUGGCCAAGAUCAUGUAACAAAUUAAUGAUAGAGCUACAAUUCCUGGUGGUCUUUCCCUGCUCAAAAUCCAUAUUGGAUACAAUUUAGUACCUGGCUAUACUCUGUUUUAUUAUGUUAUCCUUUAUUUGUUAAUUCAUGUAUAUUUUAAAAUGAAAUAUGUGUAAAACCAUUCAACAUAGCUUCUGGAACAUUUCAAGCACUCAAUAAAUGUUAAGUCUGAAUACGUCUGUUUAUGUGGCUUUCCCAACUAGAUCAUGAGCUCCUGGGAGGGGCCGUGUCUCACACACUGCUGUAUAUCCCUAUGGCUCAUACAGUUCCUCUAGACACACCCGAGGCACUCACUAACUGCUCUCUCACUUACUGAUUAAUAAUCAGGGGUGAGCCCAGUUUUAUGCCCACUGGAGGAAAAGAGAAAGCUUGACAUUAAAGCAAUAAAAUGAACCAUUUCCCCUACAGAGUUAGUCUAACAUUAAUAAAAGCUUCAUGUUGCACUAUUAUCUUCUCCUCUUAUUAUUUUCAUGUAUUUCCUACUGGAUAUAAAUGUCAGGAUGCUUUAUCUAUCUGCAUUUUCAUGGGAUUUAUUGCCACUGAAGGAAAACAUGCUGUGACUUCUGGCAAGGGAAGCCUUGUCCUCCGUGGCCUUCUCUCUCCCAUGCUGCCUAAGGUCCCCCAGUGACCACAGAGCUAAAGAAACUAGGCAAGGAGCACUGUGUCUAUUGGCAUAAAUCAGGAUGAAAAACCCACUUUUUCUGUUUUGCAGUUCUGAGAUUUGGUGCAACUGGCUUUGCUCUCCGGACAUCCCUAAAGGGAAGCAGAAAUGGUGAUUUUGAAGCAUCUAUUGUCCCACCUCAACUCACCUAACUCUCCUUAAUAGAACCAUAAUUUUGUGCAGAUAUCUACACAUCCUCCUCAUGAUCAAAUGAUUCAUGAGAGGAGAUUCUUCCCUCAGAACCCAGGAUAUAUUCUGAUUAAUCUAAACCAGUGAUUUUUAAACCUGCCAUGUGCCAAAAUCAUCUGGUGGGCUUGUUAUAAAACACAGAUUGUUUGGCUCCAGCCCCAGAGAGUCUGAUCCCAUAGGACUGGGGAGGAACCCUGGAAUUUACAUUUUUAACAAGUUCCCAGGUGAGGCUGAUGCUUCUAGUCUGGGGUCCACACUAUCAAACCACCCCUCUAAGCCAAUUGACACAUUCUCAUUCUCCAGUUGGUCUGGUUGUGAUAUUUGGACUUGUUUUAACUCAUUCUCUCAAGAACAGAACCUAAGACAAGGAUGUGGGCUCAAGUCUUUUACUGGGACAUGAUCCUAGAAAUCACUAUGAAGGAAUCAUGAUGUGAGAAGGAGACGCAAAGAAAGCCACCAAGGGUUAGUUGAUGGCCAGUUUCCUCCAUGUGCCACUGGGAGUUAAUGCUGCUGGAGACCUAGUGCAGGACUCAGAGUUUGCCCCCUAAGGAAGGAGGAGGACAGGAUUUAGUUUCCAUCACUCACUUGUUUAAGAUUGCUCCUUAGGACUUCAACUCUCUAGCAUUUCCAGCCUGUGCACACUCCAGAGGUGGCCCUCAGGCUCAGAGAUGCAGUUUCCAGACGAAGAAAUCAAGGGCUUAUGAGAUUUGCCCAAUAAAUUGCAGGCAAUCUGUUUAUGGGCUGAGGGCAUAAGGUAGAGUACCUACAGAGUCUGCUACUGAGGAACACGUGAUGCAGAUUUGACUAAUAAAAUGUGAGCAAUGUCUGCCAGGGGACUCUUGUCAAGGUUUCUUUGGUCUUAAGAAGAAAACGUAGAAGAGAAAUAUUUUCCUCUGGAUGUUGUUAUAUCUGAAUAAGACAUUGAAAUUGCUAUAUCCAUAUUAGAAACAGGAGAAGUAGCCUUAGAAUGAAGGCACUGAAGAAAGCAGAGUGGAGAGAUUGAAGAACUUGCAUCUUUGAUGAAAUUAUUGAGAUACUGACAUAUCAUGCCUGGAGCCAUUCUAGCACUGGGUUUCUUGGGUGAGAGAUAACAAAUAGUGUCAUUGUUAAGACUGUGGGAAUUGGGGUUUUCUAUUGCUGGUUGCUGAACCCUGAAAUGCAAAGUGGAAAUGGUGCUUAACACCGUUGCUGCUCAAAGUGUAGUCUGAGGUCUGGAAGCAUCACCAGGGAGAAGAAUUUCAGGCCCCGCUCAAACCCACUGAAUCAGAAUCUGCAUUCAGCCAGAUCUCCAAGUAAUCCAUGCACAUAUUGAGAUAUCAGAUGCCCUGCCUUACAGAGCUGUGCUGAUUCAAAGAGCUGACAUAUGGAAAUCACACUGCAGAUGUUGAAUUUAUUAUUUUAUAUUGACAUCUUGGUACCUCCUUGUAGUCCUCUUAUUCAUCAUUCCUUAUUUAAGAAUAAGUUUACAUCAGCCUAUGGAAAUAUACUCAAAUGUGAAAUUCAUUGCUGGUUAAUUAGUCUGGAAGGUCAUUUUUUUUUUAACGUAGGAGUUAGUUUUCCUAAAUAUUAAUGAGCAAUUAGAAUUCUAUUCUGAAAACAGAUGACAUUGUGAAUUAAGAGUGAGUAGAGGGAGGUGAGAAAUAAAAAUAUACACAAGUAAACAUGGUGAUAUAUUGGGAUUACUUCCUGGGCUUGUAUUUUUCUAAACCUGACACCUGGAAAUUCAAAUGAAAGUAAACCAGCUAGCACCAGGGUGACCCUUAUAAACAAAUGAAUCAUCGGCUGGAAUGAAGAAAAUAAAUGAAUAAAGCAUUCCAAAUCCAGCAAAUGGCAAGCUCUGUUACCAUUUUGAAGGGCCUAGAAUGACUUUAACUUGAGAUAUCCCACAGCAGCAUUUCUUAAAAUGUAUUAUUCAGAAUGUCAUGGAGUAAAAUAAGUGUUACCUAAAUAGUGAUUCCAUGGUCAAAUGAGUUUGGGAAGUGUUGUGCAUAAAUGAUAAAGAGUUAACAGUUUGUUUACUUGAUUGUUUUCUUUUUAUAAUAGGUCCAUACUCAAGAGGCCAUUUUCCCUGUUCUGGAACUUUAUCAAAAUUUUCAUAACAGUUUCCUGUGUUUGUAUUCUUAACACCCCGGGUCCCCAAUUCUGUCUUCACAGAGCAGCCAGUGUAAUAUUUUCAAAAUGAUAAUGACAUUGGGUCAUCCUCAUGCUCAAAAUGCACCAAUGCCCUUUAUGUUCAUAUUUGUAUUUUUUCCUUUAACAUUGCCAACAAAUCCCUUCUUUAGCUCUGAGGUGUUCUUCUCAGGGUCAUGGCUAACAAUCUCCUUUAUUCUUCCAUUUUGUUGAAUAUGCCAAGAUAUUUCUUAUCUGAGCUUUCUUGCAUACUUAAAUGUCAUUUUCUCAUAUAGGCCAUUUCUUAUACUCCUUCUGUCUGUUAGAACACACUAAAUUGUUUUUCAGAGCAAAUUAAAAUUCAUAGCAAUCUUUCUAUUCGAGUAAUUGGUUAUUUAAUGUUUGUCUCUCCCCUUAGAAGAAAAUUUAUAAGAGAUCUUAUUCACUGUCAUAUUCCUGUGCCCAGCACAGUGUCUGAUAUUUAGGGGCAGUCUGUAAAUAUUUACUUAAUGACUGAAUGAAUUGUGAAUCACUAAUAAAGCAAUACAUGAGGGUUUUCAAAUGCUUUUGAACAUGGGGACAUUUUUUUUCAGCCUAGAAGUAAUAUUCUGUGGAAUGUAUUUUGGGAAAUGCUUUUCUAAAGUCAAUUCCACUCCUCCUAAGUGUGAAAAGGAGAAUAUAAGUUAUAACUACAUUUCAAGCUCUGACUAGCUGUGUGACCAUAGGCAAAGUUAUUUCAAGCUUGAGACUCACUUGUGGAAUGAUGAGGCUGGAUGAGAUAAUCUCUAUAAUCCUUUACAGCUCCUGAAUUCUGAAGUUCUAAACAUACAGAAAGAGUACCACUUUCCCUUUGGUCUUGGUGUGAGCUCUCCACGAGUAAGUCAAAUCAGACUGACCUUCUUUCACUCUAGAGUAUUUAUAGCCUAGGAUGGGAGAUCAAGGAAAGGAAGUUGAUACAGCAUAUCUAGCUUUCCACGAGCCAUUUCACAAAGUCUUCCCUGAUGAUAUCUUUGUAGAAAGGAGUGAAGAAUGGAAGCUUGAUGGAGGUAUGAUGGACUGGUUUUGUAACUUUGUAACUGGUUGAAAGAUGGUCCCCAGGAGUGCUAAUUAAUGGAUCAAUGCCAAAAUUGAGGACAGGCACUGGUCACAGCCUGCAGGCUCUGGCCUUUGUCCUGCCCUGUUCACUAUGUCUAUUAAUGUCUUGGAUAAAGAGUGAGAGCUCAUGAUCAUGAAAUAUGUAAGUGAUAUGAUGGUGGGAAUAUGUUGAAUGGCAGAAUCAGAAUUCAAAGUGAUCUGAACAGCCCAGAGAAAUGAACUGUAUCUAAAAUGGAGAAAUGUAGUAAUCAAAAAAGAAAGUUGUAGAAAUAAAAGCAAUUGUAAAAAUUUAUAAUUAUAAAAAUGUGUGCAUAAGUGUGUAUUUGUGUGUGUGUGUGUUAUGUAUGUGUACCUGGGAAACUUUUGGGGUUUUAAUUGAAGGUAAAAUCAAAAUAGUUAAGCUUAUUGUGGUGAUUAUUAUGCAAUAUAUACAAAUAUUGAAUAAUUAUGUUGUACAUUUGAAGCUAAUAAUGUUAUAUGUCAUUUAUACCUUAAUAAAAAUUAUUUUAAAAAAUCAA
Equus caballus (horse) is the source of this 11172-nucleotide non-coding RNA. Lineage: Eukaryota; Metazoa; Chordata; Mammalia; Perissodactyla; Equidae. The record is from RefSeq and is a predicted model, not a curated record.